Molecule: ribosomal RNA, 327 nt
Filed under: Triticum aestivum (bread wheat)
Lineage: Eukaryota; Viridiplantae; Streptophyta; Magnoliopsida; Poales; Poaceae
Description: partial small subunit ribosomal RNA
Source: RNAcentral
AUGCAAUUCUCUUCUCAUCCCUGCGCCUGCUCGGCACAUAAACUAACAAUCCUGCUACUUCUCCUUACAACAACUGCUGAAGCUGAGAGGCUAGGGGACUCGGGUCAGGGCGGGAUGAGUGCUGCUAUAUGGUUUGAACCCUCUAUCUGUAGAUCAUUCCUUUUACUGAUUUCUAGCUUUUCGGAGGCACAAGUAGUUGAUCACUUAGACGUACGAGAUUCUGAAAGGAUUGUUCUCUCUAGGCACAUCUUAGGAAGGAUUCCGUGUCCCUCCAACUCCAUCCAUUGGGCGGCGUCUUUUCAUCCGGAGAAGCUGUCGAAGCGAUAG